RNAcentral lists this ribosomal RNA (253 nucleotides) under uncultured bacterium. RNAcentral's name for it is "partial 16S ribosomal RNA". It matches the Rfam family "Bacterial small subunit ribosomal RNA", at positions 524 to 776 of the family's 1533-position model. The record is from RNAcentral.
UACGUAGGGACCGAGCGUUGUCCGGAUUCAUUGGGCGUAAAGAGCUCGUAGGCGGCCACUCAAGUCGAAUGUGAAACCUCGAGGCUUAACCUCGAGCCUGCAUUCGAUACUGGGCGGCUAGAGUCUGGUAGGGGGAUCUGGAAUUCCCGGUGUAGUAGUGAAAUGCGUAGAUAUCGGGAGGAACACCAGUGGCGAAGGCGACUUUCUGGCUGCUAACUGACGCUGUGGCGCGAAAGCUAGGGGAGCGAACGGG